UACGUAGGGGGCAAGCGUUGUCCGGAAUUAUUGGGCGUAAAGAGCGUGUAGGCGGUCCGGUAAGUCGGCUGUGAAAGUCCAGGGCUCAACCCUGGGAUGCCGGUCGAUACUGCCGGACUAGAGUUCGGAAGAGGCGAGUGGAAUUCCCGGUGUAGCGGUGAAAUGCGCAGAUAUCGGGAGGAACACCUAUGGCGAAGGCAGCUCGCUGGGACGUUACUGACGCUGAGGCGCGAAAGCCAGGGGAGCGAACGGG
RNAcentral lists this ribosomal RNA (253 nucleotides) under uncultured bacterium. Its description in RNAcentral is "partial 16S ribosomal RNA". It matches the Rfam family "Bacterial small subunit ribosomal RNA", at positions 524 to 776 of the family's 1533-position model. The record is from RNAcentral.